GUUGUUGCGGUUAAAAAGCUCGUAGUUGGAUCUCGGCGGCCAGGGGGUGGUUCGCUCUACGGCGUUACUGCCCCAUUUGGCCGUGUGAUUGGCGGAGGUUUCGGGGUGCUCUUCGCUGAGUGACCCGGGGCGCCGUCAGGUUUACUUUGAAAAAAUUAGAGUGCUCAAAGCAGGCUUUCACGCUUGAAUAUUCGUGCAUGGAAUAAUGGAAUAGGAACUCGUUUCUAUUUGUUGGUUUUCGGAAAUCGAGUUAAUGAUUAAUAGGGACAAUUGGGGGCAUUAGUAUUCAGACGACAGAGGUGAAAUUCUUGGACCGUCUGAAGACUAACUACUGCGAAAGCAUUUGCCAAGAGUGUUUUCAUUAAUCAAGAACGAAAGUUAGAGGUUCGAAGGCGAUCAGAUACCGCCCUAGUUCUAACCAUAAACGAUGCCAGCUAGCGAUCUGCCGAGUUUUUUUUGUAGGCUCUGCAGGAAGCUUUCGGGAAACCAAAGCUUUUGGGUUCCGGGGGAAGUAUGGUUGCAAAGCUGAAACUUAAAGGAAUUGACGGAAGGGCACCACCAGGAGUGGAGCCUGCGGCUUAAUUUGACUCAACACGGGAAAUCUCACCAGGCCCGGACACUGGGAGGAUUGACAGAUUGAGAGCUCUUUCUCGAUUCCGUGGGUGGUGGUGCAUGGCCGUUCUUAGUUGGUGGA
RNAcentral lists this ribosomal RNA (694 nucleotides) under uncultured marine eukaryote. Its description in RNAcentral is "SSU rRNA". It matches the Rfam family "Eukaryotic small subunit ribosomal RNA", at positions 609 to 1305 of the family's 1831-position model. The record is from RNAcentral.